This 439-nucleotide ribosomal RNA is filed under the name uncultured bacterium. RNAcentral describes it as "partial 16S ribosomal RNA". It matches the Rfam family "Bacterial small subunit ribosomal RNA", at positions 338 to 795 of the family's 1533-position model. The record is from RNAcentral.
CCUACGGGGUGCAGCAGUAGGGAAUAUUGCUCAAUGGGGGAAACCCUGAAGCAGCAACGCCGCGUGGAGGAUGAAGGUUUUCGGAUUGUAAACCACUGUCCCCAGGGACGAAAAUGACGGUACCUGGGGAGGAAGCUCCGGCUAACUACGUGCCAGCAGCCGCGGUAAUACGUAGGGAGCGAGCGUUGUCCGGAAUUACUGGGUGUAAAGGGAGCGUAGGCGGGGAUGCAAGUUGGGUGUCAAAACUACCGGCUCAACUGGUAGUCGCACUCAAAACUGCAGCUCUUGAGUGAAGUAGAGGCAGGCGGAAUUCCUAGUGUAGCGGUGAAAUGCGUAGAUAUUAGGAGGAACACCAGUGGCGAAGGCGGCCUGCUGGGCUUUUACUGACGCUGAGGCUCGAAAGUGUGGGGAGCAAACAGGAUUAGAUACCCCUGUAGUC